Molecule: ribosomal RNA, 460 nt
Filed under: uncultured bacterium
Lineage: Bacteria
Description: partial 16S ribosomal RNA
Rfam family: Bacterial small subunit ribosomal RNA
Source: RNAcentral
CCUACGGGGGGCAGCAGUGAGGAAUAUUGGUCAAUGGCCGGGAGGCUGAACCAGCCAAGUCGCGUGAGGGAAGACGGCCCUACGGGUUGUAAACCUCUUUUGUCAGGGAGCAAGGUGCAGGUCGGGACCUGCUGUGAGAGUACCUGAGUAAGAAGCCCCGGCGAACUACGUGCCAGCAGCCGCGGUAAUACGUAGGGGGCAAGCGUUAUCCGGAAUUACUGGGUGUAAAGGGAGCGUAGACGGUGAUGUAAGUCUGGAGUGAAAGGCGGGGGCCCAACCCCCGGACUGCUCUGGAAACUAUGUGACUGGAGUGCAGGAGAGGUGAGCGGAAGUCCUAGUGUAGCGGUGAAAUGCGUAGAUAUUAGGAGGAACACCAGUGGCGAAGGCGGCUCACUGGACUGUAACUGACGUUGAGGCUCGAAAGCGUGGGGAGCAAACAGGAUUAGAUACCCCUGUAGUC